GGGGAAUCUUGCGCAAUGGCCGAAAGGCUGACGCAGCGACGCCGCGUGCGGGAGGAAGCCCUUCGGGGUGUAAACCGCUGUCAGGAGGGACGAAAGCCAGGGGGAGGGAAUGCCCCCGGGAAGGACGGUACCUCCAGAGGAAGCACCGGCUAACUCCGUGCCAGCAGCCGCGGUAAUACGGAGGGGGCUAGCGUUGUUCGGAAUUACUGGGCGUAAAGCGCACGUAGGCGGCUUUGUAAGGUAGAGGUGAAAGCCCGGGGCUCAACUCCGGAACUGCCUUUAAGACUGCAUCGCUUGAACAUCGGAGAGGUAAGUGGAAUUCCGAGUGUAGAGGUGAAAUUCGUAGAUAUUCGGAAGAACACCAGUGGCGAAGGCGACUUACUGGACGAUUGUUGACGCUGAGGUGCGAAAGCGUGGGGAGCAAA
This 425-nucleotide ribosomal RNA is filed under the name uncultured bacterium. Its description in RNAcentral is "bacterial SSU rRNA". It matches the Rfam family "Bacterial small subunit ribosomal RNA", at positions 356 to 772 of the family's 1533-position model. The record is from RNAcentral.